This 212-nucleotide ribosomal RNA is filed under the name Kocuria rosea. Its description in RNAcentral is "partial 16S ribosomal RNA". It matches the Rfam family "Bacterial small subunit ribosomal RNA", at positions 1334 to 1533 of the family's 1533-position model. The record is from RNAcentral. Lineage: Bacteria; Bacillati; Actinomycetota; Actinomycetes; Micrococcales; Micrococcaceae.
GCUAGUAAUCGCAGAUCAGCAACGCUGCGGUGAAUACGUUCCCGGGCCUUGUACACACCGCCCGUCAAGUCACGAAAGUUGGUAACACCCGAAGCCGGUGGCCUAACCCCUUGUGGGAGGGAGCCGUCGAAGGUGGGACUGGCGAUUGGGACUAAGUCGUAACAAGGUAGCCGUACCGGAAGGUGCGGCUGGAUCACCUCCUUUCUAAGGAG